Molecule: ribosomal RNA, 526 nt
Filed under: uncultured bacterium
Lineage: Bacteria
Description: bacterial SSU rRNA
Rfam family: Bacterial small subunit ribosomal RNA
Source: RNAcentral
CUAACGCAUUAAGUGCCCCGCCUGGGGAGUACGAUCGCAAGAUUAAUACUCAAAGGAAUUGACGGGGCCCCGCACAAGCAGCGGAGCAUGCGGCUUAAUUCGACGCAACGCGAAGAACCUUACCAAGGCUUGACAUAUAGAGAAAAGUGGCAGAGAUGUCAUGUCCGCAAGGGCUCUAUACAGGUGGUGCAUGGUUGUCGUCAGCUCGUGUCGUGAGAUGUUGGGUUAAGUCCCGCAACGAGCGCAACCCCUAUGUUUAGUUGCCAGCAUGUAAUGGUGGGGACUCUAAACAGACUGCCUGUGCAAACAGAGAGGAAGGAGGGGACGACGUCAAGUCAUCAUGGCCCUUACGUCCGGGGCUACACACGUGCUACAAUGGGCAGUACAGAGGGCAGCUACCUGGUAACAGGAUGCCAAUCUCAAAAAGCUGUUCACAGUUCGGAUAGAGGUCUGCAACUCGACCUCUUGAAGUUGGAUUCGCNUAGUAAUCGCAUAUCAGCAAUGAUGCGGUGAAUACGUUCCCGGG